UACGGUCAAAUCACGGGUUGAAAAACACCGGUUCUCGUUCGAUCACCGAAGUUAAGCAUCGUAGAGCCAGGUCAGUACUUAGAUGGGGACCGCUUGGGAACACCUGGUACUGUAAG
RNAcentral lists this ribosomal RNA (116 nucleotides) under Acanthosepion pharaonis. Lineage: Eukaryota; Metazoa; Mollusca; Cephalopoda; Sepiida; Sepiidae. The record is from RNAcentral.